Transfer RNA from Camelus ferus (Wild Bactrian camel), 73 nucleotides. It matches the Rfam family "tRNA". Rfam says of the family: Transfer RNA (tRNA) molecules are approximately 80 nucleotides in length. Lineage: Eukaryota; Metazoa; Chordata; Mammalia; Artiodactyla; Camelidae. The record is from Rfam.
GCGGGUAUAGCUCAAGUGGUAGAGUGCAUGCUUAGCAUAUACAAGGUUCUGGGUUCAAUCCCCAGUACCUUCC